This is a long non-coding RNA of Gorilla gorilla gorilla (western lowland gorilla), 2820 nucleotides long. RefSeq lists it as uncharacterized. The transcript is spliced from 3 exons. The record is from RefSeq and is a predicted model, not a curated record. NCBI's taxonomy places the organism in Eukaryota, Metazoa, Chordata, Mammalia, Primates, Hominidae.
ACGAAGGUCCCGCCUCGGCCAGGCCUGCUGGGCUCCCGACGCUCGCGGGAGCAGCGGGAAACCGGGUUCCGGGAGUGGGGCGAGGACGCCCCUGCCAAGCCCCUUUUACGUCCCGGCGGUCGCGAGGAGGUCCCCCGGGCGCGAAGAAGACGCCAGCCCAGCCCAGCCGCCGGAGAGCCCGCCCAGGCCGCGCUCAGCCCCGCCCCUGGCUCUGCCCCCGCCGCGGAGCGGAACCCUCCAAGUCGCGGCCUGAGGGGGAAGGAAAAGGGGGCGGCCCGGGAGAGCCGCUGCGAAAUCAGCAACGGGCGGGAACCAGGUUGCCUCCCUGAGUCCCUUCUCUCCCCGGCCGGCUGCCAACCACAGCCAAGGCCAGAGAAACAGGCCCUUCUGCCGCGGCCACCUGGGCGCCUUGGACCCGCCCUCCGGACCCGUCCCCGCCCCUGCCGCGGAGUGGAACCUUUGGAACCCUGAGGGGCACAGCUCCUCUAGCAAUUCCGAUGUGAAAAGAAGAUGGAUGGAGAAGCACUGAUUCAGCCAUGGCUGACAUGUCGGAGUUGGAAUGGACAGUGCCCGGACCUCACAGUCUCAGAGAACUGGAGAAGAGUAAAGCUGAAGAGGGCAUCAUCUGGUUGCAAAUGACAAGUCCAGGGCUCCAGCUUCUUCGGCUCCUUGGCCAUGUGUGUACUUUAUGAUGAAGGGCCCAGCUUCUGCAGGACAUCCAUACUACCAAGGUCAAAAGCAACAAUAAGCGACGUGGGGCUCAGUCUGUUCUCGUGGGCUACAAUGCAUGCUUCUGGUUUCCAGGUUGUUCUUGCUCUCCCUUAUUUUACAUUUAUCCUUCCUUCCCAACUGCCUGUCCCAUAGAUGUCGAGUCCCAACAUCAGAUGUGAAGAUGAGAGCUUUAUAGAGACUGCUUAACCAGCUCCCACAGUUGUAUUAGGACAAAUCCCUGUAGCAAAUCCCUGUGUGUGUGUGUGUGUGUGUGUGUGUGCGCGCGUGCACGCACCUUAGUGGUUCUCCUGUGAUUGAAUCCUGACUUACACAGUUUGAGAUAGAAACCUUCUGAAGCAAUUAGAUUAAAUGGUCUAUAACUGUGCUGUCCAACAUGGUAGCCAUUAGCUACAUGUGGCUAUUUAAAUUUAAAUUAAUUAAAGUUAAACAUAAUUAGAAUUUAGUACCCCAGUCAAGUUUCAAGUGCUCAAUACUGUGGUCACAUGUGGCUGGUGGCCACUGUUUUGGGCAGCACAGAUAUAGAGCACUUCCGUUAUUGCAAAAAAAAGUUCUAUGAGCACUGGUCUAUAGUGAUAAUUACUAGUAUUUACUGAGUUCUCACCAUGUGUCAGAUGCAGAUUCCAAGUUUGCUCUGGAGAGCACGAUCCGGCAGGCAAACGGGGAAAGAGAGAGAGUGAUGGGAAUCAGGUGGGAGAUUUUUUUUUUUUUUUUUUGAGAUGGAGUCUCACUCUGUCACCCAGGCUGGAGUGCAGUGGCACAAUAUCGAAUCACUGCAACCUCCGCCUCCCAGGUUCAAGUGAUUCUCCUGCCUCAGUCUCCCAAGUAGCCAGGAUUACAGACUUGUACCACCACGCCUGGCUAAGUUUUGUAUUUUUAGUAGAGACAGGGUUUCACCAUGUUGGCCAGGCUGGUCUCGAACCCCUGACCUCAGGUGAUCCACCCUCCUUGACCUUCCAAAGUGCUGAGAUUACAGGUGUGAGCCACUGCAACUGGCCAGGUGGGAGAUUUUUAAUGACCAGGCCUCGAGGUGGCACACAUCACUUAUACCCACAUCCAUUGGCCAGCACUCAGUUACACGGCCACUUCUAACUACAAGGGAGGUUGGGAAAUGUAGCCUAGCUGUGUGCUGAGGAAGAAAAGUAAAAGCUAUGGUGCCAGCCAGUCUCUGCCACAUCAGAUUUAAUUUGAGUGCUGUGAAGUAAUUAAUGCCCAUUAAACUAACGGUGGGACAAGAUUAAUGCUAAAAUCACUCUCCCCAGCCACCAUUUUCUCUCUUGUUCUUUGUCAUGAUAUUGACAAGGUCAAAAGUCAGGCAGUCAGCAUGAACCCGAGGAGGAGAAGUCCUUGUCACUUUGAGGCUGAAUAUGAACAGCCCCUUCUUUAUGACUCACCCUAUCAGCUUUGCUCCUAGCGAAUGUUCAUAUCGUGGUUCUCUGGGACCCUUCAGAGUGGGACUCCUAUGUGAGGAACUAGUUCUGUAAACAACUACAUGCUAGUAAAAAACCAUUAAGAGGGUUGGAAUUAGGCAUAGUCCUGCUGCAUAGAAAUCCUACUUAGUUGGAAAAAUUGUAUUUUUAAGUUGCCUCUGUUUUGAAGCCACGUUAACCCUUAACCUUCAGAAAAUCCUUAGCCAGCCUUUAUACAUUGGUAGCUCCUGUUCUAAUAAUGUCUUCUCCUCAUAUUUUCUUUGGCUUGUCAUGAGCUUUGAAAGUUUGAUCUGAGAUCUCUCACUUUUAAUAAUCUGUAACUCUGAUUUGGUAAUCUCCUACAUAUGAAUAAAAUGUCUGUGUUCAUUUAUUUCUAAUGAAUAAAUGAACAUGCCUGCUGAGCCAAGCUUUAAAUGUGAUUAAGGAGACUGACUUGGGUUCAGAUCCUGGCUCUGCCUUGAGUAAGUUCCUAACAUUCCUCUGCUUGUAUUUCCUUAUCUGUAAAAUGGGAGUGAUUUCUUUGAAUGAAAUUAUAUUACAUUUAUCAAGCAUUUUAUCACAGUUUCAACAAUAAGGUGUAAUUAUUAUUAAUUCAGACUAUAUGAUUCUGUGCCCUUGGAUAAAGUUUACCAUUAUAUAAUAAACUACUUUUUUCACUUAA